UCCUGAAAUACAUGUCAUGACCUGCAAUGGGGUUCCCCAUGACCAGGAUGGAAACGCAGCACUACGCGCUAUUUGAGGGCUGCAGUUCCUUAGAUGUUGUCCUGGGUUCUUUUUUGGCCUUCUGGAUGAGUCGUCGAUGCGCUCUAGGAGUAAUUUUGUGGCUGAUAUUUCAUUUACCAGCGGGGACUGAGGUGCUGCGACCCCCCCACCCCCCAUCCCAACACCAUCACCACCACCACCUCAACCGUUAUGUCUGUCAGUGGCUGGCCCCGACACUCCCCUGCAG
Oreochromis aureus is the source of this 286-nucleotide long non-coding RNA. RefSeq lists it as uncharacterized. The transcript is spliced from 3 exons. The record is from RefSeq and is a predicted model, not a curated record. Lineage: Eukaryota; Metazoa; Chordata; Actinopteri; Cichliformes; Cichlidae.